Long non-coding RNA from Bos taurus (domestic cattle), 12315 nucleotides. NCBI's taxonomy places the organism in Eukaryota, Metazoa, Chordata, Mammalia, Artiodactyla, Bovidae. The record is from Ensembl.
CCGCCCCCCCCCCCCACAAGAGACGGGCCCGGCGCUGAGUUGGGGGGGAGCCCGGGUGGGGCUGCCGCCUCCUUGCACCGCGCCCCGGGAGGGGCUUCCUUCCAGUUCUCCUUCUUACGGCUUCACCACUGGUGUGGUCAACACAGCAGGCAAAAUUAACCCGACUAAAGUGUUUGAUCUACAGAUAAGAUACUCCUAUGCAUUUUGCAAGUUCAGUUUAGGAUGACCUGCACUGAUACCUGUUUUCACUAACUGGAAGAGAUCUGAAGAGGACUUUUGCUCUUAGGAGGACAGCAAACAUUUGCUGAGCCCCUGCUGUGGGCUACACCGCAAGGAGGAAGUUAACGGUGCAGCCUGAUGCCUGCUUUCAGGACGUGUACGGUCUAGUAGACAGAAGAAGACACUGUAAAGGACUGGGAGUGAAAUGUCAGAUUCCCAGGGUUAUUAUGCUGAAGAUCCGAUUUCCCUUCAAGAAAUUCUCUCUGGCUCCUGCGAAUGGAACAGCGGAUGGAGGAGAGACAUGGCUGCCCAUCAGCUGCUACCUCCGCUGGCACUGAGUCGCCUUCUUUGUGAAUUUCCUGCAAGCAGAGCGCUGCCCUGAAGCUCCUCUCUUGUUUCGCUCUUUCCUGGUGGCUGACCUGCCUUCAGUCCUCUAGAGUGGAAGCUCCAUGAAGCAGGGAGCUUUCUCUAGUUUGCUCGCUGCUGAGACUCUGGCACCAACAGAAUCCCUGGAACCAUGAGACGCACCAUCCUAGUUGUUGGGCCAGUGAGCGACUUUUGCCUGAAACCUGAGUGAGGCAGAAUGCUAGAAGCACAGAGAGAGAGAGGCUCCUGUGGCUGUUUGUCGCUCAAAGAGGCUCCAGUCUGCUCCCCAGGAAUCCUUUAAGGAUUUGACCUUCAUCAAAGCUGCUGCAGGUCCAUCAGCUUCGUUCCCCUGGAACUAAAGAGCCUUGUAAGAACUUCACGAGGACCAUUCAUCCAGGGAGUCCUCAACCUCAGUUCUCACAGACAGAAGAUGGAGAUCUGAGAGGCUUACAGGAGAAAAAGUUAAGGAGCCCGUCAAGAAGAGGAUGGACAGACCAAAGAAAACAGCCCACGGCAGCAGACACCUGAGAUACAGCCUGGAAAUCUCUGGGAGGACAGGGCUCGGUGCUGAGAUGAAGAUGCUCAAGACACGUCCACGGGAUGAGCAAACGUGCUCGCUUCCGAGGUCCUCUCCACCCGCCGGCGUGUCCCAGCCUACAAACGACUGUUCUCGCACGCUGGGGUCUCUCUCCAUCCCCCUCUCUCUCUGUCUGUCUCCCACUCUCUCCAUCUCUGCCUUUGUCUUUUUCUGUCUGUCUCUGUCUGUCUCUCUGUUUCUCUCAGAAUGGUGCUAACAAGGAGGGAGGGGUGGAGGAUUGAAACCUGCUCCGUCAAAAUUAUUUGAUCUGUUUCCAUCUUUCCGUCGGGCCCCAGUGAACACCCCAUGAGCUCUCUGCUGCCAUGUUAAUAUCCCGGGAGAUGCUAUCUGGUGGCCCACAUCUCAUGCCAGAGGCAACACCCGCUCCCAAAGAAUCCCAGCCCGCGUCCCACCCUUCUGAGAGAGGCAGAGCCCAUCUCCCUUGACGCCUGUGUGGCUGAGGCGGUUUUUUCUUGAACUCUGCACCUUGGGAACAUUUUUAUGUGCCUCUUGCCAAACCUGAAACUUGAUGUUGGGAUUGUUGGUGAUCCUCCAAGAGGCCGGGCCUCCAGUUCAGGCACCAGAACACACCUGGCCACUCCCAGAAGCUCUUUUCCCAAGUGCCAGGAAGCUGCACCUCGUCUUCGGGGUAGGAGCAGCUUGGGAGAAUGGCCCAGAAUCUUCCAGAAUCACUUUCAUUCUGUUAUCUUGAAACAAACACAUUAACCUGCAGAUGUGGCUACUGGGUGUAGCCUCUAUUGAGACUGAAUCAAUUGGCCCCCAGUGCAAACACAUCGUUAAAUGAAUAUGCACGUAACAUAUUCACUUAUAAUUGAUGUGUUUGCACGCUUUUCCCUGUCUUUUGCCACUCACCCUUUGUUUUAAAUAUCACUGACCGCCUGCCGACCAUGCCACUCCUCCAUGCACUAUUAUUGAGACAUGGAGUGAUUUAAAGAAACACAUAUAAACAUCUCCCUCUGACACACUGUUCGUUCCACCCGAAUCCCUUUAAGGAGACGUAUAUUCCUAUGGUUUAGAUCAUGUAAGUUACUUUUCCAUGCAUUGUCUUUUCUAAUAUUUAUUUAUUUGGAUUUAUUUGGCUGCGCAGGGCUGUGGUUGUGGCACUUGGAAUCUUUAGUUGCGGUGUGUGACCUCUUAGUCUCGGCACGCGGGAUCUGGCUCCCCGAGCAGGAACCGAACCCGGGGCCCCCUGCGUUGGGAGCGCAGAGUCUUAGGCACUGGGCCACCAGGCAAGUCCCUGGAUCAUAUACUUUAUUAAUGAAAAAGGCACAGUGAGAAAACUGGCUCUGCGUGUUCAUCUGCAGAGGGUAACUCUGCGGGGAGGGGUUUAAGAGGAGGCACGACUGAGACUAUUUCUCAUCUUCCGUCAGGACAUUCAAUGCCUGGGCCGGAUGGUGAGGAUGGGUGGGCAGUCAGGCGCCGAGUAUGAAGGCAGAGCUCACCGCAGCCAAGGGGCCGUAUUCUACACAGGAGCCCCAUCCUCAAGGGGUCCGCAGAAGCUUCUGGAACAUUCGCUGGUGGAGAUCACUGUGGGCACACAAGGGGCCAGGGGAGGGGUGUCAGCAGCUUCUUUCCCGAUUCAGUUUUGUGUCCCUGUUGAGCUCCACCUCCUCUCCCACCCCUGCUCUAUCCCCGCCAGGUCCAUGCUCUGCUUCUCUCUUCUUGCGUCUAGGCUCCAGGAGGCAGAGAUGAGCAUGUGGGCGAGCUCCCCAAGCCCGCUGGGUUCCAUGUGGGUCAGGCCUCUGAGUAACACUGGGUGGGGGGUGGGGUGUGUGUGUGCGCCUGUCUCCCUCCCCUCGGGAUCACUUGUGUUCUUGACUGAAGGUUAGGGCUAGAGUCAGAGUCAGGCUGCCCUGUCAAUCAGCCUUCUCCCUUCCCCCCACUCCUCCCUUCUCAUCUCUGCCUGUAUCUCCUUGUCUGUCCCCAUCUGUUUCUCCCUCUCCUCCCCCUUCUUCUCUGAGUCUUGGAAUCACAUGCCCUUCCCUUGCAUUUCCCGGCAGCAGGAAGUGGUCCUGGCUCCCUGGGGGUGGAAGCCCCAGGAAGCUACACUUGGCCUUCAGGCUCCUCUGUACCCUGUGUUCCUGUGCCUUGUCAGCAUUCCCUUUCUCAAAACUCCUCUUGGUUCCCCAGGUCCACUCCUUCUUGCCAGGACCCAAGAGACACAGAGUUGUGGGUCAGAUGUGAGUCACAUGGCUGUGCUUCUCCCAGGUGCCCGGAGGUCCCCCACCCCCGGAGCAGGGCCUCCUUUGCCAUACCUCACCAGGACCUCACUGCCUUCCCCAGCCACCCCACAAACUCUGGACCCCCGAAUGAGAGCUGAGCUACGUGAAGGGGCAGAGUGCAGACCCUGUGGGUUACAACAUGCUUCCUCCUGGGGUCCCCAGUCAAGGGGGAUGACGCAACAUUUCAUCAGGUUAAGUGAUGAGGCGGCUACCCAGUGUUAGCUCUCAUCAGGCUCUCUAAGGCUGAGGAGGCUGUAUGAAAGCACCUUGAAAGUCGUCAUGCAGUAACCCAGUGGACGUGCGCCCAUCUGGCUGGUGUAGCGGCAGCCUCCCAACUAGGCGGGGAGGUCUUGGGUCAGGAAGGUGGCUUUUGUGUAGUUUGCUGCCCCUCUGCAGGGUCUGCCCUCGUGCCAUACGUGCACCCAAGAGCUUGGGAAAUGAUGCCUGCUCCACAGCGACUAUUCAGCUUGUGAUUUUUGAAGGAAGGCAAGACAGUCUUCUGGGACUUCCUAGAGGAAGGCAAAGAGUACCUACCCAUGUCUAAACUCUUAAAAGUAGAGGCCAUUACUUUGCCUAAUUCUAGAAUUAUAUCACAAAUUCUGUACAAAUCAUAUUUAAAUGGAUAGUCCUAACAUAAAUGACUCUGAAGGGAAUACAUCAGGUAGUAUAGGUUGACUGGCUCCGCUCCUUCAAUUAUAUCUGUUUCCGCUAUAGAAGCUGAUUAUGCAAAAAAAAAAAAAAAAAGUCACUUUGCUCAUUCAGUAUUCUUAGGGCUAGGAAUGGCUUUGUGACUCAUUUCUCAAAAGUAAAAUAAACAUUCCAAUGGUACCGUCAAUUUCCCUUUUGUUUUUACCAUCUUGGAAUGCAAACAUGAUGGCUGGAACUUCAGCAGCAAACCUUGGGAAGAGGAGGCGAUAGCAAGGAGGGAAAGAUGAGAAUUGCAGAGACAGUGAGGUGUUGACCUUGAUACUUGUAAGCCACUGAACUACUGAGAUCAAUCAGCUACCUCCAGAAUUGUUUGUGCAUUUGUGUGUGUGUGUGUGUGUGAGAGAGAGAGAGAGAACUACUUGUAAGCCACUGAACUACUGAGAUCAAUCAACUACCUCCAGAAUUGUUUGUGCAUUUGUGUGUGUGUGUGUGUGUGUGUGUGUGUGUGUGUGUGUGUGAGACAGAACAUUAACCUUUCUUUAUUGUUGUUUAGCAGCUCAGUCGUGACCAACUCUUUUGUGAUCCCAUGGACUGUAGCCCCCCAGGCUCCCCUGUCCACGGGAUCUCCCAGAAUACUGGAGUGGGUUGCUGUUUCCUUCUCCAGGGGAUCUUCCUGACCCAGGGAUCAAACUUGAGUCUCCUGCAUUGGCAGGCAAAUUCUUUACUGAUGGGCCAUCAGGGAAGCUUGCUGCUGCUGCUGCUGCUAAGUCGCUUCAGUCAUGUCCGACUCUGUGUGACCCCAUAGACGGCAGCCCACCAGGCUCCCCCAUCCCUGGGAUUCUCCAGGCAAGAACACUGGAGUGGGUUGCCAUUUCCUUCUCCAGUGCAGGAAAGUGAAAAGUGAAAGUGAAAUCGCUCAGUUGUGCCUGACUCUUAGCGACCCCAUGGACUGCAGCCCACCAGGCUCCUCCGUCCGUGGGAUUUUCCAGUACUCUUGCCUGGAAAAUCCCAUGGACGGAGGAGAAGACUAAAUCCCCAUUAAUUAAUUAUUCUGUUUCUUGUAGCCAAAGAUAGCCCUAUCUGGUACAGUCAAAAAUGUGUUGAUAAAAUAAAAUUACUUCUCUUUCUCCAACACCUCAUUGGCUUUUCACGUUGAAAUCUGCAUAGGGCAGUUUUCUAAGUGAGAGGGUUCGUUCAGGAUUAAUUCAAGCCUGUUUGACCCACCACCCUGCCAAAUGCCCGUGACCCCCUUUCACUCUCUUCUUAGCAGCUCUUGAGCCCCUUGAGAGCAGAUGCCACGUGACAUUUACAUCCCUAGGGAUCAACACCACAGUUUUCAUGUAACUGGCAUUGGAUUAAAGAUGGGCCCUGAAGAAAGAAAAUAAGCUUCAUAAGGUCCAGAGAGGGCGGUACAGUAACUACCACUUAUUGAGGGACUAAUACAUGCAAACGUUUUCCAGUCCUCAUUUCAGACACAUCAUAAAGUAUCUGUAGCCCCAUUUUACAGAUGAAAAUCCUGACGCUCAAAGAGUUUGCAUAGUUUGGCCUGGAUCCUGAAGCUUAUAAAUGACACAGAGAAAAUGUGAACCCCUAGCUCCCCCAUAGACGUCUUCCCUGUGAGACGAACAGUUCAGAGCGUGGAAACCACCGCGGGGACUUUGUUUUUCUCACCUCAGCAUCUGAAGACAUCAGCAGACCUAGCCAGGUGCCGACCAGCCUUGACACAGACUCUGAGUGAAACCUUCAAAGGGUCUAGAAUUCAAUCCCCGGCAGGUUCCGAGGAGGACGGUCUGGGGCUUUGGAGAAAGCGGCCUUUUCCACCGUCUCAUUUGCAUGCUGGAUGUCUACUGAAAGUUGCUAUGGUGAUCCGUUUGACCAGAAGUUUCCGCUGAAUCAUCCCAACACAUAUAUGAAAACAGAGAUGUGGUUUGGGGACCCAGGGCCCGCAGCCGGGGGAGACGCUUCCAUCUUUCACUUGUGACUCACUCGUGGUCGUGCGUAGGCCCAGCUGGAAGGGAGGCGAGACCUCUGGGGCAGGUGUCGCUCCCCGGAGAGUUUUUGCACGGCAGGGCUCACGCAGUCAGUCCCCUCUGGGGACGCAAAGAGUGGAGCAGGAAAGGAGGAGCAGCACCCGAGAGAUGCCCUGUUCCCCCGGCUUAUUCCAGGGCUCAGGUCCUCUGGGUAGACGUCUCUGUUUGGAGACAUCCCCCAUGCCCCCUCACCAACAGCCAAGGCCGCCGUGGGUGCCUGGGUUCAGGAGGUCCAUCUGGGAGCCGACCUGAAAAGGCAGGAGGGGAGGGGGCUCUGAACCGGAGGGGAGGGAGGACCUUACCUGAGUGCUGCGGAUGCUUCUGUGGGCGGUGACCCGCUUCAGGACCUGUCUCUAGGGUAGUUGGCCAAGGGACAGAGUGCCUGGGAGCAGACAGGCUUCUGUUCAGGUCUUUUCUCUCCUCAGGGCAAUCCUGGUCUCUGGCCUUGGCAAACAUCUGAACUUUGACCUUGAUUUCCCUGUGUGCAGAAAUGUAGAAAAGAGUACCUCAUUUGACCUAAGGAAAAAAAAAAAGCACAUCCACAGUGGAGCCUGGUGCAGAGUAUUGCAUGCAAGGGCUGUUCGAGACUGGUGCAGAACAUGGCUUUCCUCAUUGGACCCUGAGACAAGGAGAUGCCCUCUGGCCCCAGAGAGCACCCCAGCUGAGCCCACGUGGUGCAGAAGUCCCCAGGAGGCUGACCAGGGAAACCCGUGGACCAUCUCACCUCCACAGAGUGACUUUUCCUGUUAACUCCCAGACUCCAGGCCAACUGGAACCUGGCUCAUUAGCGCCGUGCAACCAAACAGCAGCUGGGGAGGAGGUCUCUCUGGUACAUGAUUUUCUUUCUCUCUCAGCCACAGAACUUCCUCCAAGGAACAGGCACUCAACCUUCCGUUCUCAGAAGCGAAAACAAGCCGAGUCACACAUUUCUAUGAAUUCGCUCAGAAAGCCGAUGAUCAGUAAUAACACUAAACACGAGCGUCAGACUCAUCACAGAUCUCACCUGGAAGGGAGCCUCCCGGGGAAGAGGGGAGCUCCCGUCUCAGCUAAGUCACCAUCUCAGUGGGGACAAGGAAGAGGAGGGGGUCAUUCAUCUCUUGCAAAGAGUAUAGACCAGGGCUCAGGAAGGUCAUGGUCUUCUCCCAGCCCCACCGCCCCGCUGUGGCUCAGGCAGGGCUUGCUCUGUGAAUGGGAAACUGAAAGCUCUGGGCCAGAGGGUUCUUAGCUGUCAUGAUAGGUCCCAGGUUGGUGGAUGACCGAUUGAAAUAAAGUGUUUCUACAAUGGGAGUGGUACCUCCAGCAGAUACACUGACUCCUCCCAGUGCCUCCCAAGUUGGAAAUAAGAAGGGAACCAAUUUUCAGCAGCCACGCGUCAAGCGCCGUGUGGGGGUCCUCCCACCUGCUCUGAAACAGAAGCAGCUUUGAUGGGCUCCACAUACAGGGUUAUAGACUUCUAAGAUGCAGGCCUGUGAUCCUCUGAUAUAGCUCUGACAUUUUACAGAGAGGAACGAUCCCUGAACAUCUCAUGCAGAAAGAUGAGUUAAGACAAAGUGUCAGUACCUACUCCCUUAGAACAAUGGAAAAGCCCCGCCCCGAGGAUGUCCUCUGUAGUGACCCCCCAACCCUGUAAGUUCUAUAAGGGUCCGUGGCUUUAACUUCAGAACAGCCCAGGGCUGACCCGGCCCUGCCGUUCUUUCUCACUCCCACCGAAUGUCUCCAUUCUCUGUGCCCGCACGACAACGUGAGCACAGUGUCAAGCCCCGGCUUUAUUAUUUUUUCCCCUGUGUCUUUUCUCCUUCCAUUGGUUUAGUGUGUGUAUUCUCUUCCCAAUUCCUGUUGCAUAACAUCAGAAUUGGUGCCAGACCUCUAUAGACAAGGAUUUGGCAAUAAGGGUGCUUGCAAUGAGACUGUGUCACUGUAUUUGGAGAAAUUAGGUGACCAGAGAGUUGGAUUUCAGUUCUAAUGGCUGGAAAAGAUCCGCAAGGUGCAGAACGAUGGGUGCGUUCAUCCGGUGGUGCCAGAGAACCCUAAACUGGGCUCAGAAGACACAGCUAUAAACCUUCAGGAAAACAUCCCAUUCCAUCCCAAACCGUCGGUUCUCACGGAACGGCGGGACAUCAGUGACAAUGAGCCAGUCGAGGUACACUUCUGUCUGUGAGGCGUGCCCCAUCAUGACGGAGCUUCAGGAAGGCUGGGUGAGGCUGUUUGGGAGAAAUUCUCUUCUUCCUCAAGUGGAGUGGGGUAAUCACAGGGAACUCCACAGGAAGUAGAUUCCCCCAGAGAGGUGAAUAGAUACCAGUGAGGGGGAAAAUGAAUAAAUAAUACUCGGUGAGAUUUGCAAUUCUGGAAAACCAAAACACAAAGUACACUCAGGGCUGGCAGCUGCGAGGCGCGUAUCCAAGUAAGAGCGUUACUUUUCUGUCGGAUUCUUCAGGGUGUUUUCUUAGAACAGGAGGAAAGUAACAGGAGUUCUUUUGGUCACCAAUAAGCUGUUUUACGUAUAUUCAGAGGGGCUUACGUUCUUAUUGUAUCUAAGAGGCAACGGUGUGCUUGUGCCUGGAAGAUACUGCAAAGAAGCUCAAAAAGCUACUGCUUCAGUGGCCUUUCGUGUGUCCCCUGGAGCUACUGAAAGAGAGUUGCAGCUUGUGCAUAAAAAUGGGAGGAUGGACAGACAGAUGGAUGAAUGAACAGGCAGAUGGAAUGAAACGUAGCGGGCCACAGUCCAUGGGGUCCCAAAGGGUCGGACGUGACUGAGCAACUGAGCACACUACCCAGGUAACACAAAGCCUGACACGGGACAAGCUUUCAGUGAGUAAAGAUCUGACACUUAAUGAUUUCAGUCAGGGUCAACUGGUCACUCCCUUUCAAGACUUGGGGAAACUCAGGGUCCCCUUACAUACUGGGGUAUUCCUUCCUUCAUCAAGACCCAGGGACUCAGAUGCGUCAUCUGUGUCUUCAUGCCACACUGAGGCAUAUGAGCAAGUCCUUGGGGGUAAUUUCAGGGUCCCCGCUCCUCAAGAUGGUUUCUGAAAAUCCUGCCAUUGGUAGGAUGAAAACCUAGAGUGGGCUGGAGGCCAGUGAAGGAAAGCAGGCCUUCUUCCAAGGCUCACAAGGAAGUCUAAAGAAAAACCCCAGCACUCUUGCUGACGACCUCCCCAUUCCUGGCUCAGCUGUCCCCAGCAGGGGAGGUGUCCCCGUGGCCAGAAUCACCACAAGUCCCUCAUUUUCAAGCGCAUUAACCUCAGAGCCCCCAUAUUCGUGGAAAGAUGACACAAAAGAGACAGGAUUAGAACUAAAAAACAAGUCAGGUGUGCACGUGUUCAUUUUGCAGAGAGAUCUGUCCUUCCCUUAGUGCAGGUUUCUGUUUGAAUCAACCGAGAAGACGAUAGUUUAAGGCAAGGCGAUUGCCGGGGUUGCCACUGAGAUCGCCGCCGUCCUCUAGAGGAAAAGAGCCCACAGACUGUGUCACUAGCUCUGUGUACCUGGAGACAGUUCUGUCCCUCUUGGCCAAAGCCUUUCUGAAAAGUAUGCUGCCUUUGCUACUCUCUCACUGUGGUCCAAUUUGAGUCUAUUCCACAAGCUUUCCCGCAGGAGCACUGGAAGUCAGGUGCUGGUUGGAGGAGUUUGCUUGAACCAGGAAACAGAGGUGAAACAUAAGACCCCCUGGGUCAAGAUGCUGUCAGAAUCACGAGGGAAAACAGAGAGUCACAGGGCAAUUACAAAAGACUCGAGGAGGGACAGGAUCCUGGUGACAAAAAUGGUCUGCAUCCUGAAACCCAUAAACCUAUGCGUGUAAUAACAUUGCAUUUGAUUUCUUCCAGUUGCAUGUGGAUCUGCGGUUGCCUUGAAUUUUUUAAAAAGUCAAACAGAUAUGGAUAAUUUCCACACACAGUUACAGACCUCAUGCCAGUAUCGGAGCACUGAGUGGAAAUACACCAUCUCACUUGGAUUAGGGAGAAGCAGCCAAAGAAGGUCUCCCACGGAAGGGGACCUCAGCACAGGUCAUUUGGCUGUUGAAGAAACUGGAGCACUCGUCCUACGGAAUUGCCCAUAUUCCGGGUGUGAAUGAAUGCUUCUCCGUGGGGCUCAUUUCUCUCUCCUCUGUGUUUCAUGAUAGCAGUAGUGUGGCACCAUUGUCAGGCUCACCGUCAUCACGUUUCUACCCCAUGGUCCCAGCAUUGUUGGAAAGGUGGGAGUGUGGACGAUCGAGUGCUAGCUUCUCGAAGUCUAAUUCCCCCAUCAUGUAACUUAAAACCAAGCCUUUCCUCCCCGCCACGUAGAACAAGGACCGCAAUCUGCCGUUGGCACUCAGGUUGGGAAAGUGAUUCUGGUACAAAGACAAUGCACGGACUUGUGCAAUGGCCAAGCAGGGCCAGCCCUGCAGCUGCCCUCAGAGCAGGCAGUUUCUGGAAACAGACCUUUCUGACGGUAAUAAGACAGUCGGAGCGUGAACUUUGCCGCCACGCCUUGAACCACUCACCAGCUGAGAGACCUUGGAGACUCUCCGUAAUGUUUCCACGCCUUAGCUUCCUUCUGAGCUAAACAGAAAGAGCAGCAUGUGUCUCCGUGGGCUACUGUGAAAAGCCAGGGCGUUAAAGCCAAGGGCAAGCCCUGGAACUCAGACAGGGCCAGCAGUUGAGGCCCCAUCGAACGCCAAAGACCAAGACUCAGAGAGCACGUCAAGGACUCAGAGAUGACACAGGGAAGAAGUAGCAGCAGCCACCACACCGUGUGCUCCCAAAGCCCCAGAGGCCUUGAAUGAGAGGUCAGGAUACACCCGUGCGUGUAUAAAUAGGGUUCAAAAACACAAGCCCGCAAAACAGAGGACGGGGAGCACAAUGAGAAGGGGCCUGGGGCCAGCCUUGGCGAGUCACCGGCGUCCUGUGUCUGCUGGGGAGACCCGGGAAGUUACUCGGUGCACGAGAGCAGACAGACUGCGGCUCCCGGAGGUGGAGGGCGGUGCCUGAUGUGGACUCAAGGUUCCAGCUCCCAGGGCACAUGGCUGCUAAAUGCCACUGGACCGGGACCUAAGAAUCACCCCAGACCCAGGGGGAGGAAGGAAAGUGACCGAAACUCUACGGAGUCUGUCCCCUGACGUCUCCUGCACGGAAGACAUAGCCUGAACCAACACUGUCCCAGUAUCAUGUCCGUUUCUAUAUUCCUGCUUUUUGUAAAAAAUCAGUUCUGACUUCAGCAUGAUAAAUCUUCGAAGGGCUGAAUGCUUUCGGGACAAAUUCCCUCCGUGGUGUAGCUCUGUGAAUAGGAUCAAAAAGGGUAUAACGAUGGAAUGUUGAAUUGCAAGUGGUUCCUAGAUAAAGGGGAAAAAAAAGCUAAGGGAGGUAUCUAUGUUCUGGAAAAAAAGGAAAGAAGGAAAAAAGAAAAGAGAUAAAGAGACAAGCAUGGGAAUCUGUUGAUUUGGAAUGGCGAGAAUAGGAAAGAGGCCUCUAAUUUUGAAUCUCUCUCUGGUGCCUAAACGCCAAAGAAGUCCUUUCGCUCAAAUGCUGGUGUAUGUACAGAGCUGUUGAUUAAUCCCGAUCAGAUGCUGGUGUAUGCACAGAGCUGUUUAGUAAUCCCCUCCCGUCCACCAGGCCUCACUGGGUGUCUUGGUUGGGUGAGGAAAGGACAGGAGCUGGAGUAAAUCUGGGGAGGCCGUCCUAGGAAUUCUCACUAGAGAGAACAUCUGGCUCUCCCACAUCUCUGGUGCAAAACAAACAAGAACCUGCCUAAAUGAUGUGUACUGUGUUCUAAGGUAGAGCCCUUUGGGAGCCUGAUACAAAUAAACAAAACAAACAACAUAAACAAACCCCAAACGCUGGCAAUGAGAUACACUUGCAACCAUGGUCUUUCACAAAGGCACAGAUGACGAGUUGCAGGGGUUUUGUUUUCAGAAUCCACUUUCCAGUAAGCAAUCUGAACAGUGUAUGAAGACCCCAGACCCUUCUUCUGCCCUUUCCCCUCUGCCCCCCACCAGGCACAACCCCCCAUCAACAUGGUACCCCCCCAGAGAAACCUCCAAAUCUGAUUUGUCUAUUUUUUGCUCUCUCCUCAUGAUUACUCCCCUCCCCUUAAAGCCUGGCUUCCCUGAAACCAAAUGUGAGCCAUUCUCUAACUGCACUGGAAAAUCAGAAUUUAUUAUACAUAUGUUUGUGUUCCACUUAAUAAAAAAACCUAUAUUUUAAGAUAAACUUUGUUAGUAAUUCAUGAGGUAAGUGACUAUUUAUGCUAAUCAGGC